CAUUCAAUUAACCAUCGUUUUGAUCGAUGAUGCAUAAUAGAAAUAUGCAUUCCUUUACUGUUUUUUCUCCAUAAGAUCCUUUUAUCACUCAUUAAAAUUUUGCAAGUUCUUGCCAUACCCGAAGCUUCCAUUAUCGCUGACUUCGCCGGAAUGCCUGCACCCAUGUUCCAGGUCUGCAGGAGGUGCCUUUGAGAACUUGAUCAGCUACUCGAGCUUCAUUGUCAGCGAAGUCUCCACUGGGUUGCCCAGAUCUGUCCUGAAUUGCUUCAUUGAUGACAAUUUGGAGAAGGCUCCGCUGACACUUACAAAGGAUGUUUUCCUUUGUUGGAAAGACGAGGAUACGCUGGAGAUAGACAUGGGGUGGUAAGAAAAUGAUGAGUUCCUGAUGAUAUUAUGCUUGCUGGUCUAAACCUACAUGUAUUAUGUCAGUUUGUUGUUAAGAGUAUCUUGAAAAUAUAAAGCCACUGGGUGGCCAGGCAUUCUAUACUAUCGUCUUUCCAAGAGCCCACAUUUCUGCAUGUAUAUAUUUGUUGUACAGCCUAUGCUGGUUUGCCUACAAUAAUUAUCAGAAGGUAAUAUGCAGCAGCCAAA
Non-coding RNA from Triticum urartu, 591 nucleotides. Lineage: Eukaryota; Viridiplantae; Streptophyta; Magnoliopsida; Poales; Poaceae. The record is from RefSeq and is a predicted model, not a curated record.